CAUGUGGUUUAAUUCGAUGCAACGCGAAGAACCUUACCUGGUCUUGACAUCCACGGAAGUUUUCAGAGAUGAGAAUGUGCCUUCGGGAACCGUGAGACAGGUGCUGCAUGGCUGUCGUCAGCUCGUGUUGUGAAAUGUUGGGUUAAGUCCCGCAACGAGCGCAACCCUUAUCCUUUGUUGCCAGCGGUCCGGCCGGGAACUCAAAGGAGACUGCCAGUGAUAAACUGGAGGAAGGUGGGGAUGACGUCAAGUCAUCAUGGCCCUUACGACCAGGGCUACACACGUGCUACAAUGGCGCAUACAAAGAGAAGCGACCUCGCGAGAGCAAGCGGACCUCAUAAAGUGCGUCGUAGUCCGGAUUGGAGUCUGCAACUCGACUCCAUGAAGUCGGAAUCGCUAGUAAUCGUGGAUCAGAAUGCCACGGUGAAUACGUUCCCGGGCCUUGUACACACCGCCCGUCACACCAUGGGAGUGGGUUGCAAAAGAAGUAGGUAGCUUAACCUUCGGGAGGGCGCUUACCACUUUGUGAUUCAUGACUGGGGUGAAGUCGUAACAAGGUAACCGUAGGGGAACCUGCGGUUGGAUCACCUCCUU
RNAcentral lists this ribosomal RNA (594 nucleotides) under Escherichia coli. RNAcentral's name for it is "bacterial SSU rRNA". It matches the Rfam family "Bacterial small subunit ribosomal RNA", at positions 938 to 1532 of the family's 1533-position model. The record is from RNAcentral. Lineage: Bacteria; Pseudomonadati; Pseudomonadota; Gammaproteobacteria; Enterobacterales; Enterobacteriaceae.